GCUAUAUAGGGAUCUUAUAAGUUAGGUCUAUCUCAAAGUCAUCGAGGUAUUAUCGUCGAUUGUAGAUUGGGAAUCUUAUAAGUUAGUCCUCUAGAGGUCCCUUUAGGUCUCCCUCUGCUCGAAUUUAACUUCACCUCAGAUCUAUAGAUUUUUAGCUCGGAUCUGCAGGUUAUACCUCGGAUUUGCCUUCACUUCACCUCGGUUGGUUGAUUUUUAUCUCAGAUUGGCCUUCACCUUGGAUCUUGUCGCUUGGAGUCUGGCCUUGGAGUCUGGCCAUCGGG
Molecule: long non-coding RNA, 281 nt
Filed under: Elaeis guineensis (African oil palm)
Lineage: Eukaryota; Viridiplantae; Streptophyta; Magnoliopsida; Arecales; Arecaceae
Description: long non-coding RNA (EGUI_LNC078408)
Source: RNAcentral